Molecule: transfer RNA, 76 nt
Filed under: Lentisphaerota bacterium
Lineage: Bacteria; Pseudomonadati; Lentisphaerota
Also listed under: 1 other name
Description: Lentisphaerae bacterium tRNA-Lys
Rfam family: tRNA
About the family: Transfer RNA (tRNA) molecules are approximately 80 nucleotides in length. Their secondary structure includes four short double-helical elements and three loops (D, anti-codon, and T loops).
Source: RNAcentral
GCGCCCAUAGCUCAGUUGGUAGAGCAAAUGACUCUUAAUCAUUGGGUCCUGGGUUCGAGUCCCCGUGGGCGCACCA